GACGUAGGUGGCGAACGUUAUCCGGAAUUAUUGGGCGUAAAGGAUGCGUAGAUGGUGUAGUAAGUUAUCGGUGGUAAAUCGAGGCUCAACCUCGUGGAAGUCGGUAAUACUGUUAUGCUAGAGGAUAGGAGAGGUUAACGGAACUCCCUGUGGAGCGGUGAAAUGCGUAGAUAUAGGGAAGAACACCAAUAAAGGCGAAGGCAGUUAACUAUUCUAUUCCUGACAUUGAGGCAUGAAAGCGUGGGGAGCAAAAUGG
Molecule: ribosomal RNA, 256 nt
Filed under: uncultured bacterium
Lineage: Bacteria
Description: partial 16S ribosomal RNA
Rfam family: Bacterial small subunit ribosomal RNA
Source: RNAcentral